This 72-nucleotide transfer RNA is filed under the name Camelus bactrianus (Bactrian camel). It matches the Rfam family "tRNA". From Rfam's summary of the family: Transfer RNA (tRNA) molecules are approximately 80 nucleotides in length. Their secondary structure includes four short double-helical elements and three loops (D, anti-codon, and T loops). The record is from Rfam by way of RNAcentral. Lineage: Eukaryota; Metazoa; Chordata; Mammalia; Artiodactyla; Camelidae. RNAcentral also lists the same sequence under 2 other names.
GAGGGUGUAGCUCGGGGGUAGAGUGCAUGCUUAGUGUACAUGAGGUCCUGGGUUCAAUCCCCAGCACCUCCA